CAAAUUGUCGCCAUUAUUGUUCUCUUUCCAACACCGUAUCUUUCAAAGCUCAGGCAUUUAAACUUUUUAAACUGUGUGGAUCAAAGUGGAGGGAUCACAUUUGAGUCAUUCAGUGAUUCAAAGAAUAUGACCUUUUAAUAUUCAUUCAGAUGUUUUCUGACUCUAAAUGUUCUUUUCUCAUUUCUUAGGGUUUUCUAAUUUACAUUUAAAACAUUUUCAGUUUUUUUCCAACUCCUUCUUCUGUGUAACCUUCAGCUUUUAGCAGUUCAGCACCUUUGUUUUCAGGUUAAAUUCGGGGUUUUUUUUUGUUUUUUUUUAAUCUCAUUCAAUAUUUUUAACUCAAAAUUCAGCAAUUAAUUCAUUUCAGUGCAUACAUUCAGAUUCAAGCAUUCACACUGCAGUUUCUUCAGAAAAUGCACUUUCUACUAAGCAAUUGGUGGAAUCCAUUCUCACAAGCAAACCUGGUGGAGAACGUAUAAUAAAUGAGUACAAUUGGACCAAGUCCCUGGUGGAUGAAACCAGAAGAAAAAUGGUCAACAUACUGGUAGCUGACAUGACAGAAAAAAAUGGUACAUCACCACCACGGCAGGUAAAAGAAAUGUAUGCCAGAGGAAUUGUAACCUUUUUCCCUUACCUCAGUGACCCGUACUCAAAAAAUGGCUAUGAACAUUAUUAUGAUGGCGAGAGUGGC
Molecule: long non-coding RNA, 691 nt
Organism: Astatotilapia calliptera (eastern happy)
Lineage: Eukaryota; Metazoa; Chordata; Actinopteri; Cichliformes; Cichlidae
Source: Ensembl